Molecule: ribosomal RNA, 862 nt
Filed under: uncultured bacterium
Lineage: Bacteria
Description: bacterial SSU rRNA
Rfam family: Bacterial small subunit ribosomal RNA
Source: RNAcentral
GGCUCAGGAUAAACGCUAGCGGUGUGCAUUAUGCAUGCAAGUCGAGCGGUAUAUCGAAAGAUAUGCAGCGGCAAACGGCUGAGUAACACGUAAGUAAUCCGUCCCAAAGUGGGGAAUAAUCCGCCGAAAGGUGGACUAAUACCGCAUGUGGUAAUGGAAUUAGUUUUUCAUUACUAAAGCUCACGGGCGCUUAGGGAAGAGCUUGCGUCCUAUCAGGUAGUUGGUGGGGUAACGGCCUACCAAGCCUUCGACGGGUAGCUGGUCUGAGAGGAUGUCCAGCCAGACGGGGACUGAGACACGGCCCCGACUCCUACGGGAGGCAGCAGCAGGGAAUUUUGCGCAAUGGGCGAAAGCCUGACGCAGCAACACCGCGUGAGGGAAGACAGCCUUCGGGUCGUAAACCUCUUUUAUCAGGGAAGAAUAAUGACGGUACCUGAUGAAUAAGUCACGGCUAACUACGUGCCAGCAGCUGCGGUAAUACGUAGGUGGCGAGCGUUAUCCGGAUUCAUUGGGCGUAAAGAGCGCGUAGGUGGUCCUUCAAGUCAGAUGUUAAAUCUCUCGGCUUAACUGGGAGUUGUCAUCUGAUACUGCUGGACUUGAGGGUAGUAGAGGGAGGUGGAAUUCCCGGUGUAGUGGUGAAAUGCGUAGAUAUCGGGAGGAACACCAGUGGCGAAAGCGGCCUCCUAGGCUAUUCCUGACACUGAGGCGCGAAAGCAUGGGGAGCGAACAGGAUCAGAUACCCUGGUAGUCCACGCCCUAAACUGUGGAAACUAGGUACAGGGAGUAUCGACCCUUCCUGCGCCGUAGCUAACGCGUUAAGUUUCCCGCCUGGGGACUACGGUCGCAAGACUAAAACUCAAAG